GACGAACGCUGGCGGCGUGCCUAAUACAUGCAAGUCGAGCGAAGUUUUUCUGGUGCUUGCACUAGAAAAACUUAGCGGCGAACGGGUGAGUAACACGUAAAGAACCUGCCUCAUAGACUGGGACAACUAUUGGAAACGAUAGCUAAUACCGGAUAACAGUAUUUCUCGCAUGAGAGAUAUUUAAAAGUUGGUUAUGCUAACACUAUGAGAUGGCUUUGCGGUGCAUUAGUUAGUUGGUGGGGUAAAGGCCCACCAAGGCGACGAUGCAUAGCCGACCUGAGAGGGUGAUCGGCCACACUGGGACUGAGACACGGCCCAGACUCCUACGGGAGGCAGCAGUAGGGAAUCUUCCGCAAUGGGCGAAAGCCUGACGGAGCAACGCCGCGUGAGUGAAGAAGGAUUUCGGUUCGUAAAGCUCUGUUGUUAGGGAAGAAUGGAUAUGUAGUAACUAUACAUGUAAGAGACGGUACCUAACCAGAAAGCCACGGCUAACUACGUG
RNAcentral lists this ribosomal RNA (499 nucleotides) under uncultured bacterium. RNAcentral describes it as "partial 16S ribosomal RNA". It matches the Rfam family "Bacterial small subunit ribosomal RNA", at positions 28 to 507 of the family's 1533-position model. The record is from RNAcentral.